UUCCACGCUUCCUAGAAAAGCCGCGUACGGAGCCCCUUUGGUGAUCGUACUGCAAACCGACUCAGGUGGACGGGGUGAAUAUCCCAAGGCGCGUGAGAGAACCCUGGUUAAGGAACUCUGCAAAUUGACACCGUAACUUCGGGAGAAGGUGUGCCGCUGGCGGUUAGUGACUUCGCGUCACGAAGCUGUCGGUGGUCGCAGUGAAAUGGCGGUUGUGACUGUUUACUAAAAACACAGGACUCUGCGAAGUCGUAAGACGACGUAUAGGGUCUGAUGCCUGCCCGGUGCUGGAAGGUUAAGGGGAUAUGUCAGCGCAAGCGAAGCAUUGAACCGAAGCCCCAGUAAACGGCGGCCGUAACAAUAACGGUCCUAAGGUAGCGAAAUUCCUUGUCGGGUAAGUUCCGACCUGCACGAGGGCAUAACAACAUCCGCACUGUCUCGACCAGGGACUCAGCGAAAUUACAUUGGGGGUGAAGAUGCCCUCUACCCGCGGAAAGACGGAAAGACCCCAUGAACCUUUACUGCAACUUGGCAGUGAUUUUCGGGUUCUUCUGCGUAGGAUAGGUGGGAGGCUUUGAAGCCGGGCUUCCGGGUUCGGCAGAGCCAACGUUGAAAUACCACCCUGAAUAAUCUGGAAAUCUAACCUGCGCCCAUGAUCUGGGCGAGGGACACUGCCUGGUGGGCAGUUUGACUGGGGCGGUCGCCUCCUAAAUUGUAACGGAGGCGUGCGACGGUUCCCUCAGGCUGAUUGGAAACCAGCCGUAGAGUGCAAACGCAUAAGGGAGCUUUACUGCGAGACUGACAAGUCGAACAGUUGCGAAAGCAGGUGUUAGUGAUCCGGUGGUACCACAUGGAAGGGCCAUCGCUCAUCGGAUAAAAGGUACUCUGGGGAUAACAGGCUGAUCGCGCCUGAGAGUUCACAUCGGCGGCGCGGUUUGGCACCUCGGUGUCGGCUCAUCGCAUCCUGGGGCUGGAGCAGGUCCCAAGGGUUUGGCUGUUCGCCAAUUAAAGCGGUACACGAGCUGGGUUUAAAACGUCGUGAGACAGUUUGGUCCCUAUCUUCCGUGGGCGCAGGACACUUGAGAGGAGCUAUCCAUAGUACGAGAGGACCUGGAUGGACGAACCUCUGGUGCUCCGGUUGUCACGCCAGUGGCAUAGCCGGGUAGCCAUGUUCGGAACAGAUAACCGCUGAAGGCAUAUAAGCGGGAAGCUGGCCUCAAGACUAGGUGUCCCUGACGCAAGUCACUAAAGGCCCCUCGAAGACUACGAGGUUGAUAGGCUCGGUGUGGAAGCGCUGCGAGGCGUGGAGCUAACGAGUACUAAUAGGCCGUGCGACUUGACCUG
This 1344-nucleotide ribosomal RNA is filed under the name metagenome. Its description in RNAcentral is "bacterial LSU rRNA". It matches the Rfam family "Bacterial large subunit ribosomal RNA", at positions 1598 to 2925 of the family's 2925-position model. The record is from RNAcentral.